RNAcentral lists this ribosomal RNA (483 nucleotides) under uncultured bacterium. Its description in RNAcentral is "partial 16S ribosomal RNA". It matches the Rfam family "Bacterial small subunit ribosomal RNA", at positions 30 to 506 of the family's 1533-position model. The record is from RNAcentral.
AUUGAACGCUGGCGGCAGGCCUAACACAUGCAAGUCGAGCGGAUGAAGGGAGCUUGCUCCUGGAUUCAGCGGCGGACGGGUGAGUAAUGCCUAGGAAUCUGCCUGGUAGUGGGGGAUAACGUCCGGAAACGGGCGCUAAUACCGCAUACGUCCUGAGGGAGAAAGUGGGGGAUCUUCGGACCUCACGCUAUCAGAUGAGCCUAGGUCGGAUUAGCUAGUUGGUGGGGUAAAGGCCUACCAAGGCGACGAUCCGUAACUGGUCUGAGAGGAUGAUCAGUCACACUGGAACUGAGACACGGUCCAGACUCCUACGGAAGGCAGCAGUGGGGAAUAUUGGACAAUGGGCGAAAGCCUGAUCCAGCCAUGCCGCGUGUGUGAAGAAGGUCUUCGGAUUGUAAAGCACUUUAAGUUGGGAGGAAGGGCAGUAAGUUAAUACCUUGCUGUUUUGACGUUACCAACAGAAUAAGCACCGGCUAACUUCGU